AUUGAUCGUCAAGCUUUUCAGCGAGUUUUAGAGUUGGACCCUCAGAAUGUUGAUGCUCUAGUAGCACUGGCAAUCAUGGACUUGCAAACAAAUGAAGCUGGUGGGAUUCAGAGGG
Molecule: long non-coding RNA, 115 nt
Organism: Zea mays
Lineage: Eukaryota; Viridiplantae; Streptophyta; Magnoliopsida; Poales; Poaceae
Exons: 3
Source: RefSeq, a predicted model, not a curated record